Long non-coding RNA from Heterocephalus glaber (naked mole-rat), 3447 nucleotides. NCBI's taxonomy places the organism in Eukaryota, Metazoa, Chordata, Mammalia, Rodentia, Bathyergidae. The record is from Ensembl.
CCCGGAUGGAAUAAAAGAGAAAGCGAGUCUGCUGCUGUUUGCUUCCUCCUGCCUGCCCUGUCGUGGAGUUUCUCCCCUGUGUUGUCCCUCUGCCAUGCCACCCUGCCUUCGAGCCAGCUGAGUAUGGAUUGAAAUCUCUACAAACUAAAUAUCAAAAGUCCAAAUUGCCCAGAACCUCAACCCUUCUAGUCAACCAAGAUGUCUGAAAUCCCCACCAUGACUCAGUUCUUUCUCUUAAGAAUAUCUGGAAACCCACUGGUAUAGAAGAUGAAUUUUAAGAUCUUGCUUGGACAAUGAUUAGCAAGGAGCAAAAUGGUUUGGUGGAGGGGAAGGCCAGUGGUGCUGAGAGCUGCGCUCGUGACAGACGCUCCAAACUGAAUGUUCCAAACUUAUUGAUGAGCUCUGACGCAGGCUUGACUUGAGCAAGCACAGCACAGAUAGAGACAUUUUCCAGCAAUUAAAUGAAGCAAGCUACUGAGUUGGGCUGAUUUCUCUUAUCAACUAAGAGGACCCAGAUAUGAGAUGGAGGUAUUUCUGAAGUAUCUGUUGAGACAGAAAGACUUAUUUUUCAAGAACUGAAAGCUCUGGCCAAUUUUUGCAGAUAUUGAAGAAGCUGAAAGACACUCUCUUCUUGAGUACUUGAGGAUGAGCUGGUAGGUGUGUCACUGUGCCCGCCAAUGAGCACUCACUCCCCCAGGGUGGCACCAAUGUGCUGUCCCUGAGCUCAUAGAAAGAAAUCGGCUCCUGGGAGAAAAGUCUGUAGUGAUACUGGAAGGUGAAUUGCCCAGUAUCAGAAUGAAGUAUCUUUCUUCACUAGGAAUUUUGAAAAUCAUGCAAUCCCAUUUUUUGUGACUCUGUGAAAAAUGAAAAUACCAGGAACAGAACCAAUUGGCAAACAAUCUACAAAUUGUAAUGCUCAGAUCGGUGUAUGUUUGAAGAAUCUCAUGGAAUUGUACAACAAUGGGAAGUUCUUCUGGCUCCAAAGAUGUCCAUAGACAUCCAUUUCUUCAGCAGUCUUCGCUGCUGCAAACACUGAAAGCACUGGACCCCAAUACAAGCUAGUGGCCACCACACUGGUCUAUCAUCUAAACAUCUAGGCACAUUUGUUCAGAAGCCAUCUCUGAACUGGAAGGACCAAAUACCCAGUAUAGAGAAAGUAGAGCAAUGGGGAGCUAAUCAGACCAUGCUUUCUUCAGAAAUUUAUGUCAUCUAGCUUCCUUUAAAUCAAACAUUGAUUCCUUACCAAUUUACAAACAACAAAUUUUAAGCUUAAUUAUUUUUGUGAAAUUUCUGCUGUAACCAUGUCUAAAUUUCUGGAUUUAGAGGGUCAGUGUUACAAGAGAAAGUCUAAAGACAACAGAAGCUAAUCAUCAGAGAGUAACACACACAGGUCAGAAAAAUGGAUAUCAUGCCGAUUUUAUACCCUCCCCUUCCAUAGAGGAUAUGAGAAGGCUGGCAGUGUAUUGUGCAGGUUGAUACCACCUGGAAGUUGUGCCAAUUUUCUUCUCACAAAUGUGCAAUUCAGUAGAGUUAGUGGGAUGUAAUAUUCUGAGAUGACUAUCUAUGUAUUUUGUUCCUGGUAUGUUCCUAUUCCUCUCUAUCUUCUGCUCAAGCAGAUAGUGACUCCACCCAGACAUCAAGGGAAUUGUCCAGAAUUGAGAUGAGAGGAAAAAGGAAGAACUGGAACACAUCUGUAGGUUGUGGAGGAAGCUUAACUGACAAAUUUCAAGAGAAACGUCUACACUGGGACACGAUCACUCUCACAGCGUUCUCAUGUCUUGUGUGUUCAACAGGUAGGAGCUCAGUCCUGAAAUGGAAGAUGAAAGACUCCACUGUUGAUAAAAACAACCCGUGAAAAAGGGCCGCCAAACAGUAUGCUGUUUUCUCCAGCCUACCAGAACUUUAAUUCCAAAAUCCAGUUGUCACAGUUAGAUGAAGUCACACUUCUAGUAUACUUGCUUUGUAUUCUGAUUCCUAUUCAACAUGUGGAAGGAUUUAGAAAUAUGUGACAAAGGAGCAUCACUGGAGAAAAGGCUGCCUCUAAAACUGGCUGGCUUGUUCACAUAAAUUGCCUGUGCAAUACGCCAUCACAAUGUAUGAGUUUUUUAUUUUUAAUUUUUAUUAGUGCAUGUUUGCAAAAAAUAAUUAUAUUCAUUGUAGGGAAUGGGUACAUGUACAUAAUAUAUCUCAAUUCUUUUUAUUUUCUCCUUUAAUGCACCCACUUUUAUUUUCCCAUCAUCAGAUUCAUUUAUUUAUCUUAUAAGCCACUAUAAAAUUAAUUAUUGUAUAUGCAGGUUAACAAACAGAUAGUAGAGCCAAAACAUAUAAAUCACAUAAGGCAACUAUACUAAAUCAUAGUACACUUUUAGAUACAUCAUUCACACUGGAUAAAAAUAACUUUUUUUCCUCUUUUAUCUGUGUAUUAUUUGUUUUUUCACACUUUUCAUAUUGAGUUUUUCAUAUAAAAGAAACCAUGCUAUAUUUAAGCUUAUGUGUCUUAUUUACAAAUGCCUCAUUUAUGACUUUUUAAAAAGCAGGAAUGAUAGUAUCUGUAAUAGCUGACAGAAACUGAAAAGAAAAGAAAAAGAGGAAGAAGAAAGAUUAAGAAUAGUAGGAGAUAGGUGUAGGAGAAGAAGAAAAAGAGGAAGAACUUUAAGCUUCUGUAAAUUACUGUUAAGUUGGAAAUUGAUACACACAUGUUUAUAACAUAUUGUGUUAUAAAGGAAAUAAUGAAACCAAUGUUCCAGGGUAUAAAAGUGUGACAAGUAUAGUAUAGAUUUAUGAAAUAGCCCAAAAUAAUGAACAAAAUAUUAAAAAAAUAUGACCUUCAUUGCAUUUAUUAGAAAAUAAACCUGACAACAUCUUAGCAUCUCUGGAUAGUUAUGAAAACCUAGCAAAUCAUCUGACUCAUGUAUUCCCAUGUGAGUUUGUUUAAUUAUUUUGUGAUCCAUGAAUUUAGUUAAGUACUUUAUAAAGAGCAGAGUUAUCAGCUUAUCUACAAUAUUGCAUGACAUUUUCUUUGAAUGUUUCCUUCCAUUUCUGAACCUUCAAUAAACUUGGUGUAUUUUAGACAUAUUGUUAUAUUGAAAGUGCAGGCCAGGUGUGCUGGUGCACACUGUAAUCACAGCACUCCAGAGGCUGACACGAGGAUUGCUGUAAGUUCGAGGCUAGCUUAGGCUACAAGUUCAAAGUUGGGCUAGUGAGUUCAAGGCCAGUCUAAACUGCAUAGUGAGAACCUGUCUCAAAAAAACAAAAACCAACAAACAAAUAAAGAAUUGCAACAAGUGAACAAGUGAACAUCUGGAGCUGGAUGUUAAUUUUUUAGAGUCCAAAUGCAUCCUAAUCUUGCGAACACUUUUCUUCAUUUGCAGAAUAAUAAACAAAGGAUGUUCAUUUUCCUUCACCUUUAUUGUUGUUAAUAUAUUAUGCAUACAUCAACUUUCUUAC